UAUAAUUAUAGCAAUUCUUAAAUGUUUGAAAAUUGUAAUGAAGUAAAAUUUCAUUUCCCUUUCUGCAAUACCAUCUCUAUCGAUCUCAUUUUUUCUUCUUCCUUAGGCCGUAGCAUCAGAAAUCGCGGUUCAAUUUUCUCAACCACACUUUUGCUUCGCCUAACCCUUAUACACCCCAACCACGAUUUAAUCUUCUUCCUCUCCUCCCUCACCUUCAAAAUUUUCUAUCACACUCCAUCUCCGAUACACACGACGACUCACAAAUCUCAUGCGUCACCUCCUUGCAGGUCGCUUGCAUUGCAUCUGGAAGUGCGCUAUUGGCGAGAGUCAAUUGACAAUUGAUCUCCUCCCUGAAGCUACUUGCAUAAAUGCUCUCAAUAGAGCACAACCCUAACUCACUAGUCAUUACCUCGCUCUUCCUCUCCUCCGUCGUCGAUGUCGAUGGAGCUCUGAAUCUGGACCUCACCGGGCUAGCUAGAUUGCUUGCGAGGUUCGAGAAGCUUCGCAAGUGUGGCUCAGGUGAAGCUUAGUCACGGAGAGGGGUUCGACUUGGGAAAUUCUUAUGUUUUCUUUAUUGCUUUUGGAAACAGUUGUAAACCCUGAUGGGUGUUUUUAUAACAUGGUUCUUUUAGUUUUUGGAACGGAUGGUUAUGAACUUAAUUUGCUCAUUUAAUAAAUUUUAAAUUUUUCCCGCAUUUUGGGAAAAUGGGGUAUUACUAAAUGUGUUGUUAUUUAAUUAUUUCUUUUAUUUUAUUUAUAAAUCCGUAAUAUCCUGACGGGAUGUUACAGAAUGUUGUAAAACGAGGAUGGGAUGCUCAAGUUCUUGGUGGAGCCUCUCAUAAGUUCAGACUUUUGCUUGCAAGUAAAAUGUCUUUGUUCAAAUCAUAAUAGGAUUUUCCAUAAUAUUGUAAUUUAUGGAAAUCCAUAAUAUUUCUAUCUGUUUAUUUUGUUAUUAAUGGUGAAUGAUGGAACUAUGUAAUACAUGAGAAUUAUGAAUUACUAACUUCCUUGCCAAAAUUGUAGGGUGAUGAAUGCAAGUACCCUUGUUCUCGUGUAAUCAAUCCGACAAAUUCAGGUAGCUCUAUCAAAACAUACUUUUUUUAUUCUUUGCAUUUUAAAUGAAAAUGGAGUUUUCUGAAUUGAAAAUUAAUUUGAAGCCUUUCCUCCUUUCUAGCUAUUUGUUAAAUGGUGUAGUGUCCUCGUUUAUACGUACUUCUUAAGUUAAUCAUUGUUGGUCUAUUUUGUUUUGGAUUCAGCAUUCAAGCUCUUUUUGAAUGCUUGGGUUUGUUAAAGACUUAUGUCCUUCCGUUGUACCUUAUAAGACUAAAGAAAAUUAGGAAAGGAAAUAAUACAUGAAUACCAAGUUCCUCACUAGCAAACAUACCUCACCUCUCUGUUAAGACAAAAUGUGCAGAAAAUAACUUUGGAGUUUAUGCACAAAUCUGGAAAUAAAUUAGUUGGAACGAAGUAUGGAGAAGAUAGUGGAAGUGGUUGAAGGCUUGAAGUUUGUGUAUAUGCGUAUUUACUUAUGUGAUGAUUGGUAAUUUCUUAGUUGGAACGUGGUUGAAGGCUUGAAGACUGCACAAGGAGCAAUAAAUUUAAUCUGCUUCAUGAUGCUUUUGGCAUAGUUAAUUUAAAUGAAGAACACGAGUCUUACAGCUAUAGGCCAGCCUGAAGUUUUCCGUUAUACUUUGAGAAGGACUUAAUGGAAUCAAAGAUGUUUAUGUUGAGUAAUUACUCACUCGAUUUGGUAAGGUUUUAUUAACUCUGUCUUAUUUUAUCCAAAAGGUCAAAUUGUCUUAAGUAGAUGAUUCUCAUCUAGUGUUUUAUUAGCUUAAAUAAUCUAUAUUGUUGUAGAUGUAACAAUACUUUAUUUGGAUUGUUUUCCCUUUUCAGUGGCGUUCUUGUUCUGUCUAUAAAUUGUUUUAAAAAUUAUUGAUGUGGUAUGAAAUUAUUGGAAAUUAUAAUAGGUGGCACUGACAAUAGGAAAGAUUUGUUAUGAAAUUCCAUCAAUAUUUGGUAGAUAUAUGCUUUGUUGUCCUCCUCCAUCCAAAAGAGGAAAUUUUUUAAUAAAGGGCUUGCUAGCAAGAUAAAACUUGAAUUUGUUAAAAUAAUCCUAGAAAAAUUAUGAGUAUACUUAAUACGAAGGUCCAAAUUGAUGCUCUAUCUAUAUGGUAUCCCUUUUUCGUUAUCUCGCUUCUUUAUCAAGCAUUAUUUACUAUAGGAUAAACUUCGAAAGUCACGAAAAUAUUCCUCAAAUAAGGAAUGAGAUUUAUGUUAUUUAGUGAGUUUGAUAUUUGGCUGUGUUGGCAUAACCCAUCUGAUAAAGUAUAACCUUGAUGAUCGAGGGAUCAUUCUUUCAGCUUGGAAUCCAUUUGAUCUUAAAUUGAUGGUACUCCCCCCUUGCCACAUGUUUGUGCAGGUCUGCAGCUAUAUUUGGGUUUAUCUUAGAAUAAUUAUCUCUUUCUCUCGUUUACCUUUCAUGAAGUUUUUUCAACAAAAAAAUUCCUGCAAUUGUACGUAUAAAAUGGGGAAUUGUCGUGUCAAAUGUAUCAGCAAUCUGCAACAAUUAUCUUACCAUUCACAGAAGUAGCAUUAGUAAUUGCGUACUAUGUUUAUCAUAAAAGCUAAGCUCAAUGAAUUAGUUGUUAUGUUUAUGUGCAACAACAUUUCAAAUUUUGUAAAAGAAAACUUAGUUCUUUACUGAACAUUUUUAGGAUUAGAGAUAAAUAUGUAAAGCUCAAGAAAAGUAUCCAUUUAAAGUUUCAGUUCUUUUUCUACCAUCAACAAUAUUGUGAACCAUGUGGUGCAAGAGUCAAAGAUCAACACAUAUGCCAACUUUAUAGAUGAUGUGGUUAAGCAUGUGCAGUUAUGGAAUGUUGCGUUUCAAAGUACUUCUCCUAGAUGGAUUCACUCUGUUUAUUUGGCUGCCAUUGUUGCAUACUAUGCCAGGGAGGUGGAGGCGGGGUUGAUGGAGUACAAGCCAGAUAUAAUCAUCAACGCCCAUCCCUUGAUGCAGCAUAUUCCAUUGUGGGUUUUGAAAUAUUGAUCAGAGGGCUGGACCAGGUACGAUAGCGGAAGCAUUGAUCAGAGGGCUUCCCAUAAUUCUCAACGACUAUAUCCCAAGACAGGAGAAAGGUAACGUGCCGUACGUGGUUGACAAUGGAGCUGGUGUGUUCACGCGUAGUCCUAAGGAAACAGCAAAAAUGGUGGCAGAAUGGUUCACCACGAAAUCAGAUGAGCUGAAAAGAAUGUCAGAGAAAACACAUAAAUUAGAACAUCCAGAGGCGGUGUUUGACAUCGUGAGGGACAUUGAUGAACUUGCUAGGCAACGAGAGCCAUCAAAUUUUCCAUACCUGUUGACCUCGUCGUUUACUAGCCUAAUUUAAUUCAUUAUUUGUGAUUCUUUCAUGGUAGCUUUCUUCCAUUUAGAAUUCACUUGUACAGUUAGCUCUAUUUAUUUAUAUCAUUCUUUAUCUAUGCUAAAAUUCAAUUGUAGUAAACAAGUAUGCUUGUGUGGUUGUGAGGAGAUGCUUUGCCCGUAA
Long non-coding RNA from Vigna unguiculata (cowpea), 3545 nucleotides. NCBI's taxonomy places the organism in Eukaryota, Viridiplantae, Streptophyta, Magnoliopsida, Fabales, Fabaceae. The record is from RefSeq and is a predicted model, not a curated record.